UUUCUUGUAUCCGUGGGGCUAAGCGCUUAUAUUGACUGGUAAUGGUAGUGAACCAAAGAUUGGAAUAGGCGAACCGGACGUGGCUUCGACGCCACCACCUCCACCAACAGCGGCCGUUAUUUAUGGUUUUUGGCUGUUGCUGAUGGGGGUGAAUUGGGAUCGACGGGCGUAAUAAAGGGUCUAAGGCUACUCGGUGAGACACGCCGUUAAUGUUCAACAAGCAA
Molecule: transfer-messenger RNA, 224 nt
Filed under: Alphaproteobacteria bacterium
Lineage: Bacteria; Pseudomonadati; Pseudomonadota; Alphaproteobacteria
Description: partial transfer-messenger RNA
Rfam family: Alphaproteobacteria transfer-messenger RNA
About the family: Bacterial tmRNA, also known as 10Sa RNA or SsrA, is named for its dual tRNA and mRNA-like properties.
Source: RNAcentral